AUGGUUGUCUCCCCCCCGAUGGCCUCUGGAGAGAUGGCAUUGUUUUUGUUGCAAAACUUAUCAGGGAGAAGAGCAGAUGCAAGAAGAGGUUUUGUGAUGUUCCUAACUACGCAUAUCUUCUUACAACAAGCAUUUUCCUCCCUGAAUGUAUCUGGGUUACUCCCUUUUGGGAGUAACGGAUUUUGUAUCUUUGUAUCAGCCCUUGGGUUGUCCCCUUUGUAGUUGAGAUCGAGUGGUGAAACCAUUGAGAUUUUUGUAUUUUCUUGUUUUGGAAUGUAAUCCUUGAAAGGAAAUUUCCGUUAUUUGCGUAGGUUCCGCUUCUUCUGUGGGAAGGUCAGGAAUUUUCUUGCUGAAAUAAUUCUAGAACUGGUGCGUGACCUUUGAACUUCUUGUUAUUUACCGUACUGCCAUGGGGUGUCCUUAUUUAACUGUUCGAGUAGAUGUAGGUUUAGCACGCUUCCUUAACCUCUUCCGCCGCCGCCAAAAAACUCAUCUGCUCUUCGCCUCCAAGUGCCACAGGAAACUAGCCACCGCUAGCCCCUAAGCGUGAAGCAAGAGAGAAUCUGUUUUUCUCUGUUCCCAUGGCGCCGAAGAAAUCCGCUGCGAAAGGAAAGGCGAGCGGCGCUGCCGAGGACGGGGCGGAGGUCCAAGAGUGGAAGUCGAGUAAGUGUACCGACUCCCAUCUUUUGAACCUAGUAGAGAGUCACCUUCUUCAGCCUCGGAGCGUGAUCCAUUGGAGACGUUCGGAUGGGGAGUCUUUUCCUCAUGAAGGGGGAAACGAAUCUGUCGUUUUCCUUCCUCAUGUUCUUUGGGGCCUCAGUUUUCCCAUUUCUGAUUUCUCCCGAGGCCUUCUUCAUCAUUGGGGGGUUCAGGUGCAUCAUCUGACCCCUAACUCUAUUCUUCACAUCUCGAUCUUUGUUCAUCUGUGUGAAGCCUUUCUGGGGAUUGAGCCCCACUUUGAUCUUUUCCAGUAUUUCUUUCGUUUGAAACCCCAGCCUAGCGAAUCGAAGAUAGAUGUUGUUGGGGGUGCUGGGUUACAGUUUCGUCAGGGGAAGAAACCCCAAUACAUCUCCUAUGAGUUGAGUGACAAGGUCAUCGACUGGAAGGAGAUGUGGUUUUACGUUAGGAAUCUUCUUCUCUUCCCUUGCGUACUCCUGGUCUCCCUGUGAAGAGACCAAGUUGGAAUUCCAGGGGUGGCAAUGUAGAUCAUGUCAAUUUUCUCCUUGGAGAAAUCGAGAAGGUGAAGGCGGAUCACCGGGUCUGCGGUGCUUCUGUGAUUGCGCAUUGGUCAAUGCGGAGGAUCCAGCCGCUACAGCGACGGGUACAUUUGGGCUUUCAGUAUAUGGGAGGAACGGAUCCUUCCCGUUAUAGCCGAUCCAAGAUUACUGAGGAUGAUCUGAAGGAUCGAGUGAUGCAAUUGCUGAAGAACAUGGCUGGUACGGCCAAUAUUGCUAGGACUUUCAGUGCUGGUAGACGUCCUCGGGAGGUAUUGCUUUGUGUAGAAGCAUGUAGUUUCAGUCGAGUACUUUUGUCGUGUAGUCGAGUUGAUCUGGUGUCUUUCGUGCAGAUUAAUCCCGAAAACUAUCAAAGUAGGCCUCCGCUGCCGGAAGAUGUGCCUUUGGCGCAUACUGACUCAAGUGUGCAUCUGACUCCUUUUGUCUUGUAUUUUGGUUCGAAUUGACCGUUGGAUCCUCGAUUGAUUACAGUUGUAUCUUCUUUUGUAGGUCCGUCGGCCAGUCGGACGGCGUCUGAUGUCCAGGGCCGGACAGCGGACGAGCCGGCAGUUGAGUCUACGAGGACUUGGAAGCAGAGCGCCACUUCUGCUGGGAGUAGUGACAGGUGAGUACGGGUUGUUACUUUUUUGAGGUGUUGCGUUUGAUCUUGAUGUCUUUUCCUCUUCUUAGGCCUCCUUCUCCCUCCAAGAGGCAGGCGGUGAGCUCCAUUGUGAGCCCCAUUGUCGUGACUCUUUUUGCGCCGGCUGAGUCCGGUGGGAGUGGCUCUGCCAAGGGGCAGAGUGCUUCGGGGCUGAGUAUGGUCCCGAAAUUUACUAAGCCAAAGAAAUUUGUGCUUAAACACUCCUCUCAGUAAGUGUAAUUGUUGAUCGACUGAUUUGCCUUCUUUGAUUUUGUGAUUGAAGUGUUGAGUACUUCUUUUCGUAGCAAUCUAGAAGCCCUUGGGAUUGAUGAGUCGGAGAAGGGAAUUUUUGGUUCCCUUAAGAACAUUGCCCAGUUGCCUCUUGGUUCGCCGAAGAAGGAUGAUCGGGUGGCUGAUUCCGCUGCUAGAAUGGCGGAAAACCUAGUCACCGAGGAGGCAGAGAAGAAUUCUCCGGUCACUGGCACUGGAGGUGCCGCGGCGGGAGAAGUUGGCCGAGGGGUCUAUUGCUGUUGCCCAGGGGAUUUUGGGCUGCCAUUCCUCUCUUGUUGAUCUGGCCAAGCAAGUGGUUGAGCAAGCCGAGUUCCUUCGGCGGACCGGCGAGGAUCUCCAGUUGACGGGUGACCAAGCGCUGCAGCUUGAGAGGAUCGCUGCUCUUGAGAGGUCUUCUCGGGAGCAGUCGGAAAAGAUCAAGCUCUUGGAGGCCCGGGUGGAGGCUUUGGAGCAGGAUAAUUCUACUCUGAAAGACAAGGCCUCCAAGCUGUAGGAGAAGGCCAAGGCUGCUGCCAAGGAGAAGAAAGAUGCUGUGGAAAAGCUGACAAAAUCAAGGCUGACGAUGAUAAACAGAUGAUCGGUGAUAUGAAGCAGAUCAGGGAGCUAUCCCAGCAGUUGGCUGAUCUUGAGGUGGCGGCCAAAGUAGUCGUCGACAUGGUGGAGGACGAGGGAGCUGCCGAGAAAAGUCUGCUGGAGCGUCUUCGUGAAGCCCCUCAGUGACUUAGUAGCUUUUUCUCCGACACUUCUAGGGAGUACUUAGCCCAUGCCUUAGGAUUAGUCAAAUCCUUUCUUCCUUCCGCGAACUUGGCCCUUAUUGGUGAUGGGGUGGCCGUUGGCUGCUCAGAGGAGAGAUUCUCUGAGUAUGUUGUGGAGAUGAAACCCAUUGCUGAUAGGGUUAUAAGUGGCUUGGAGCCUGCGCUAGAGGCUUGAACAAUUGUUUGUAAUAUUCCUUUGGCUUUUGUGUGGACGGGUGUCCAUUGCAGUACUUUUGUCAUUCUGAUGUAUAGUACUUU
This is a long non-coding RNA of Panicum virgatum (switchgrass), 3158 nucleotides long. RefSeq lists it as uncharacterized. The record is from RefSeq and is a predicted model, not a curated record. NCBI's taxonomy places the organism in Eukaryota, Viridiplantae, Streptophyta, Magnoliopsida, Poales, Poaceae. The transcript is spliced from 4 exons.